UGAAGGGUUUGAUCCUGGCUCAGAACGAACGUUGGCGGCGUGGAUUAGGCAUGCAAGUCGAACGAAGACAGUCUUGUAGCAAUACCGGACUGGACUGAGUGGCGAAAGGGGCAGUAAUGCGUGGGUAACCUACCUUGGGGAUGGGCAUAGCUGGUCUAACGGCCAGGUAAUUCCCAGCGAUUUGGCGAGACGGCAUCGUUUUGCCAGGAAAUGAGUUUCGCCUCGAGAGGGGCUCACGUCGUAUUAGCUAGUUGGUAAGGUAACGGCUUACCAAGGCAAAGAUGCGUAGCGGGUGUGAGAGCACGACCCGCGCCACUGGCACUGAGACACUGGCCAGACACCUACGGGUGGCUGCAGUCGAGGAUCUUUGGCAAUGGACGCAAGUCUGACCAAGCGACGCCGCGUGUGCGAUGAAGGCCUUCGGGUUGUAAAGCACUGUCGAGGGGGAUCAAAGCGCAAGCUUGAGAGAUCCCUGGAGGAAGCACGGGCUAAGUUCGUGCCAGCAGCCGCGGUAAGACGAACCGUGCGAACGUUGUUCGGAAUCACUGGGCUUAAAGGGCGCGUAGGCGGGCGAUCAAGUCGGUGGUGAAAUCCUACAGCUUAACUGUAGAACUGCCUCCGAUACUGGUUGUCUCGAGGAAGGUAGGGGCGUACGGAACAGUUGGUGGAGCGGUGAAAUGCGUUGAUAUCAACUGGAAC
RNAcentral lists this ribosomal RNA (699 nucleotides) under Chthoniobacterales bacterium. RNAcentral describes it as "bacterial SSU rRNA". It matches the Rfam family "Bacterial small subunit ribosomal RNA", at positions 1 to 707 of the family's 1533-position model. Lineage: Bacteria; Pseudomonadati; Verrucomicrobiota; Spartobacteria; Chthoniobacterales. The record is from RNAcentral.